This 301-nucleotide ribosomal RNA is filed under the name uncultured bacterium. Its description in RNAcentral is "partial 16S ribosomal RNA". It matches the Rfam family "Bacterial small subunit ribosomal RNA", at positions 509 to 807 of the family's 1533-position model. The record is from RNAcentral.
CAGUCGCCGCGGGAAUACGAAGGGUGCAAGCGUUACUCGGAAUUACUGGGCGUAAAGCGUGCGUAGGUGGUGGUUUAAGUCCGUUGUGAAAGCCCUGGGCUCAACCUGGGAAUUGCAGUGGAUACUGGGUCACUAGAGUGUGGUAGAGGAUAGUGGAAUUUCCGGUGUAGCAGUGGAAUGCGUAGAGAUCGGAAGGAACAUCUGUGGCGAAGGCGACUAUCUGGGCCAACACUGACACUGAGGCACGAAAGCGUGGGGAGCAAACAGGAUUAGAUACCCCCGUAGUCCCUGUCUCUUAUAC